RNAcentral lists this ribosomal RNA (274 nucleotides) under uncultured bacterium. Its description in RNAcentral is "partial 16S ribosomal RNA". It matches the Rfam family "Bacterial small subunit ribosomal RNA", at positions 523 to 796 of the family's 1533-position model. The record is from RNAcentral.
AUACGGAGGGUGCAAGCGUUGUUCGGAAUUACUGGGCGUAAAGCGCGCGUAGGCGGUCUGUUAUGUCAGAUGUGAAAGUCCUCGGCUCAACCGGGGAAGUGCAUUUGAAACUGGCAGACUUGAGUACUGGAGGGGGUGGUGGAAUUCCCGGUGUAGAGGUGAAAUUCGUAGAUAUCGGGAGGAAUACCGGUGGCGAAGGCGACCACCUGGCCAGAUACUGACGCUGAGGUGCGAAAGCGUGGGGAGCAAACAGGAUUAGAAACCCUAGUAGUAC